ACGGAAGGCAGCAGUGGGGAAUAUUGCACAAUGGGGGAAACCCUGAUGCAGCGAUGCCGCGUGGAGGAAGAAGGUUUUCGGAUUGUAAACUAUUUUAGACAGGGAAGAUAAAAGACGGUACCUGUAGAAUAAGCCCCGGCUAACUAUGUGCCAGCAGCCGCGGUAAUACAUAGGGGGCAAGCGUUAUCCGGAAUUAUUGGGCGUAAAGGGUGCGUAGACGGGAAUUUAAGUUAGUUGUGAAAUCCCUCGGCUCAACUGAGGAACUGCAACUAAAACUGGAUUCCUUGAGUGCAGGAGAGGAAAGCGGAAUUCCUAGUGUAGCGGUGAAAUGCGUAGAUAUUAGGAGGAACACCAGUGGCGAAGGCGGCUUUCUGGACUGUAACUGACGUUGAGGCACGAAAGUGUGGGGAGCAAACAGGAUUAGAUACCCUGGUA
This 435-nucleotide ribosomal RNA is filed under the name uncultured Oscillospiraceae bacterium. RNAcentral describes it as "bacterial SSU rRNA". It matches the Rfam family "Bacterial small subunit ribosomal RNA", at positions 341 to 792 of the family's 1533-position model. Lineage: Bacteria; Bacillati; Bacillota; Clostridia; Eubacteriales; Oscillospiraceae. The record is from RNAcentral.